UACACGUUAAACCCGGUAGUGUAGCUCAAUAAUCUGAUCAUGUGAAACGAUCAGAUGGAUGAUCAAAACAUUAGUGUCAGGAUGUGUUGACAUGUUUCUAGAGUUUAUAUCAGACCUGCGCAUCAUCUGUGAGAUAUAAUGUCGGACCCUCACUCAUUUCUGGGGUGUGUGAGAAGAGGUCUGCGCUUAGAUGUGUUUAAGGAUGUUGCUCGUCAGUAUCCUGUCAUCUUCUGUAUCUUCACCUUUAUGAUCUCCUCCACCAUCAUCCUCAACCAGUAUCUGCAUAUUCUCAUGGUUUUCUGGUCGUUUCUGGCGGGAGUGAUCACAUUCUACUGCUCCCUCAGCCCAGAAUACCUGCUGCCCAAUAUCCUCAUCUCUGUAAGGUCCAAGAGGAAAGUAAGUGUGUCCAUUAGGAUGUAAGAAGUGUGGCUAGUCCGAAGCGCAACAAUGACAGUCUUUUAUAAGAGAUUGUUCAAUUACACAAAGUGAUAAACCUGAGUGAGAUCAACUAAGAGUGGAACUAAGCCUUACUCCGGUGAUAUAUGUUUCAAGCGUUAUGUAUUGAAAACUACCACAGAAUAUGCAUGUGCACACCUUAUAAUGCUUUAUUAUCACACAAGUCUUCAUCUUUCUGUCAUGGGAGCCUCAGCAAAUGGAACUUUAGUUCCAGUCCUUGAUUCUGAUUGGUUGAGCAGCGUUCGAAGCCGUU
This is a non-coding RNA of Pimephales promelas (fathead minnow), 709 nucleotides long. NCBI's taxonomy places the organism in Eukaryota, Metazoa, Chordata, Actinopteri, Cypriniformes, Leuciscidae. The record is from RefSeq and is a predicted model, not a curated record.